AACGAACGCUGGCGGCAUGCCUAACACAUGCAAGUCGAACGAGACCUUCGGGUCUAGUGGCGCACGGGUGCGUAACGCGUGGGAAUCUGCCCUUGGGUACGGAAUAACAGUUAGAAAUGACUGCUAAUACCGUAUAAUGAUUUCGGUCCAAAGAUUUAUCGCCCAGGGAUGAGCCCGCGUAGGAUUAGCUUGUUGGUGAGGUAAAGGCUCACCAAGGCGACGAUCCUUAGCGGUCUGAGAGGAUGAUCAGCCACACUGGGACUGAGACACGGCCCAGACUCCUACGGGAGGGCAGCAGUGGGGAAGUAUUGGACAAUGGGCGAAAGCCUGAUCCAGCAAUGCCGCGUGAGUGAUGAAGG
This 359-nucleotide ribosomal RNA is filed under the name uncultured bacterium. RNAcentral describes it as "bacterial SSU rRNA". It matches the Rfam family "Bacterial small subunit ribosomal RNA", at positions 29 to 414 of the family's 1533-position model. The record is from RNAcentral.